GGCGCGGUAGCUCAGUCGGUUAGAGCGUCGGAUUCAUAACCCGGAGGUCGAGGGUUCGAAUCCCUCCCGCGCCACUA
Molecule: transfer RNA, 77 nt
Filed under: Rhodothermus marinus DSM 4252
Lineage: Bacteria; Pseudomonadati; Rhodothermota; Rhodothermia; Rhodothermales; Rhodothermaceae
Description: tRNA-Met
Rfam family: tRNA
About the family: Transfer RNA (tRNA) molecules are approximately 80 nucleotides in length.
Source: RNAcentral